This 67-nucleotide transfer RNA is filed under the name Fucus spiralis. RNAcentral's name for it is "Fucus vesiculosus var. spiralis tRNA-Leu". The record is from RNAcentral. Lineage: Eukaryota; Phaeophyceae; Fucales; Fucaceae.
AAAAUCAAAUAGAAAUGAAAAUCCGUUGAUAUUUAUAAUCGUGAGGGUUCAAGUCCCUCCGCUCCCA